Molecule: non-coding RNA, 14258 nt
Organism: Monodelphis domestica (gray short-tailed opossum)
Lineage: Eukaryota; Metazoa; Chordata; Mammalia; Didelphimorphia; Didelphidae
Source: RefSeq, a predicted model, not a curated record
CCAAGAUGGCGGGCGUUUUAGUUGACCUCCGGAAGGAAUGCGGCGUGAUGACGCAAUACGCUGCCGCUUUACUUCGCCGCUCCGGUUUAGCUAAGAAAAGUUAGGGAGCUCCGGGCCGGAGAGGGACUAGUUUGACUUGAGUCCAAGUUUAAAGGACAGACCUAUUUUCGUUAAUACAACUAAGACAAAGAAGGAAUUGUUUUUUUCUUUUGGGGACGCCAAUGAUGGUCUUUUUGAAUUGCUGUGGUGGAGGGAAUGAUCACUUGGAUACCAGUAUUACAGUUUCAUUCCGGUCUUAAUACAUUUUCUAGAGGAUACAAGCCUAUCCAACUUGGUAGGGACUGUCAGAGAAUUAGGCUGUGUUGUCAUUACCUUCUUUCCGACUUGAGAGGGCUAGAGUUGUUGGCAUUGUCUUCUAAAAUCUAGGGUCACUGGUACGAGGAUAAGUCAUCAGAGGAAGACUUUGGUAAAGGCCUUGAAAACUUUUGAGAUUGCAUUGAAAGAAAUCUAGGAUCUAACAAGAGGGAGGCAAUAGCCUCAUAUUGUGAAAAGAGCAACAAAUUUGGAGUCAGAAAAUCUGGAUUCAGUCCUAAUUUUCUUCCUUAAACUACUACUAUAUCCUUGGGAUAUGUGCUGUUGAAUCAAGCAUGAAAACACAUUCAAAUGGAGGCACAUAUAAUCAAGGGAGAAAUUUGAAAUUAGCAAGUUGAAUUUAAUAUUGGUUUAGAGAUGACUUUGAAGAGAGCAGUUUCAAUCAAGGAGUAGAAGAGAAGCCAGAUUGAAAAUCAUAUUGAAAAGUAAGUGGGAGGUGAGAAAGUGGAGACAAGGAAUGUAGUUAGCUUUUUCUAGCAGUUUAACUGUGAAAAGGAGAAAUAUAGGAUAACAGAUGAACUCAUUUAAAAAACAACUCCAUAUCUCCUGUUCUUCCUCCAGCCUCUUUUUAUCCCUCUUUAUUUCUGUAGAGGGCACCACUGUCCUUCCACUCACCCAGGUUUACUACCUCAGAGUAGACCUUGAUUUCUCAUUUUACUUAAUCCCACACAUCCAAUAAAUUUCAAAUUUUAUCAGUUUUCCCUCCAUUUCUCUCACAUUAUACAUUACUCCCUUUUACACAUGUCAGCCAAAUUGGUCUGCUUGCUAAUUCUCAUUUAUUACAUUUCAUCUACUGCCUCCUUCCUGUUCAUCAUUUCCAAAAAUAUCUAGCUUCCUUGAAACUCUCAAGUACUGACUCUCAUGUGAUGGAUUUCUGGCUCUUCCUAACUGCAAGUACAUCCAUGCCUUAAGUUACCUUGUAUUUUCUUUUCUGUUAUAAAUAAUACUUAUGUUUGUGGGAUUUAUUUCUCUGAUAGAAUUUAAGCUCCUUGAGGGCAGAGGCUGUUUUGUUUUUUGUCUUUAAAUCCUCAACAGAAUGUGACACCUAAUAAGUAUUUAAUAAAUUGUUGACUUGAUUGACAUUUCAGUAACUGAGUGUCUCCACCAUCUAAUCCAAAAAGAACAAAAGACUAUCUCAUGGCAUUAUUGGGGAAGGUAGUCAAGGAAAGUGGGAAAGGCUAUUCUCCAUGGUAUUGGCCAUUGCUUGCUGCAGUUCUCAGUGCACUGAGAACGAAAACUGGGAGCUUCCUUUACCAGUUGUCUCUUAUAUAGCAUUAGUUUCUAAAGAGCUAUGUUUUGGCCUUAUUCCCUAAUCUGUUUCAUCUCUUUUCAGUCCUGCCCCACUCCAUGAAUAAUAUAUGGAGCACUGGGGAUACUAACUCUGUAUUAGACAAGCUACUUAACCUUUCUGUUAGUUUUUUCCUUUUUAAAAUGAGGGAAUUGGGGAGCAGCUGGGUAGUUUAGUGGAUUGAGAGGCAGGCCUAGAGAUGGGAAGUUCUAGGUUAAAAUCUGGCCUCAGACACUUACCAGCUGUGUGACCCUGGGCAAGUCACUUAGCCCCCAUUGCUUAGCCCUUACCACUCUGCCUUGCAACCAAAACACAGUAUUGAUUCCAAGAUGAAAGGUAAGGGCUUAAAAAUAAAUAAAUAAAUAAAUAAAAUGAGGGAACUGCAAAGAUAUCAGAGAGAGGGUGAAAGGACCUACUUAUACAAAAAUAUUUUUAGCAGCUCUUUUUGUGAUGGCAAAGAAUUGGAAACUGGUGGAGGGGGGUGUCCAUUAAUUGGGGAAUGGCUGAAUAAGUUGAACUAUAUGGUUGUAACAGAAUACUAUUGAACCAUAAGAAAUGAUAAAUGGAAUGAGUUUUAAAAAAAAACCUGGAAAGACUUAAUAUGAACUCAUACAAAGUAAAGUGAGCAGAACCAGGAGAACAACAUAUAUGAUAAUAGAAAUAUUGUACUCUGAUCAACUGUGAAGGACUAAACUAUGUGAAGGCAAAACAAAAUCCCAAGAUAACCUAAAGGGAACAUGAUUAAAAAGAAAAAAAAACAACUAUCCUUAGCCAAAGAAGGAAUUGUUGGAAUCUGAUUGCAGAUCAAAGUGUGCCAUCUUUUUACUUUAUUUACUCCAUGAGUUUUAAAAAAAUUAAUUAUAUUGUAAUGUGUCUUCUGUCACAGCAUAUGGAAAAAAAAAUGGGCAGCUGGGUAGCUCAGUGGAUUGAGAGCUACUCCUAGAGACAGGAGGUCUUAGGUUCAUAUCUGGCCUCAGACACUUCCCAGCUGUGUGACCCUGGGCAAGUCACUUGACCCCCAUUGCCUAGCCCUUACCACUCUUCUGCCUUGGAGCCAAUACACAGUAUUGACUCCAAGAUGGAAGGUAAGGGUUUAAAAAAAAAUGGAAAAAAAAGAAUAUGGAAAUUUGUAUUCCAUGAAAGUAUUUGUAUUAGAUCAGACUACCACCAGGGGGAGGGAAGAGAGAGAGGAAAUCUGAAUCUCAAAAUGUCAGAAAAUAAUUGUCAAAAAUUGUUUCUACAUGUAAUUAAAAUUAUAAGAGAAUGUUUAAAAUGAGGGAAUUGGACUAGAUACAUUCUCAGGACUUUUCCACCUUAAAAUCUUCUGUUCCUAUGAGUAAGAGAAAUAGAAAUAUGCAUGAGAGAAUAAGAUAGAUGAUAAAAGUUACCGAUUUUAAUUGUUAAUUAUCUAGAAAAAGUUUUCACUCUUUUUGGUGGAAUAACUGUUCUCAGUGAGAUGAAGUAAGGUCAGCAAAUGGUAGAACAUGACCUUAAGUUAUAUUUCUUGCCACUAUCAUUUCCUGGUGAAACAAGUUCUAUUAGAUCAUUAUCUGUCCUGUCAUUUAUUUGCUUUUGUCUCUUCCAAACUAACUUUUCUCAAGUUGAAAAGGACCUACCUUAUCCUACUUCUUGGGAAUUCAGUGAAUGAGUUCAUGUUCUUCCUAUGUGUGAUGUUCAUUAUUUGGUAGAAAUUGAUCUUCUCCCAGCUUAUCCUUCGCUUUUCUCUACUAAUGAACUGUAGUUUUGCCAUCUGUUCUGAAUCUGUUGGGUUCUAUUUUUCUUUUCUAGAAAUCUAUAAGAAUGUAAGCUCCUUGAGGACAGGGACUGUGGCGAUUUUUAUCUCUGCAUGGCCUUUUUUUAUUUCUAUCUCUUUAUCACAGUGCCUUAUAUAUAGUGAGGUUCAAUAAAUGUUUGUUGAAUGAUCUGUACACACGAUAGUGUGAGAAUAAACACAACAUAUUUUUCUGUUUUACAUGAUAGAAUCAUGUUUUUAAUGUUUUAUUAAUGCUUUUCAAAAAAUUGCCAUCAUUUCCUAAAUAGGACCUCCCUUAACAAAGUAAAGACACAUAGUGAGUCAUGUAUUGGUCAAGAAGAUCUGGAUUCAGAAUCUGACUCUGAAAUGUUCUUAAUUAUGUGACCCCAGGCAGUCACUUAACCUCUCUAUGCCUUAGUUGUACGAUGCCGGUUGUACCUACCACAAAGGCUCAAAUGAGAUAAUGUAUGGAAAGUGCUUCAUAAACUUUAAAGACUAUAUAAAUAUUAACUACUGUUAUAUCAUUAUAACUGAGCAAAACAAUGGUAUAUUGACUUUGUGAAUAAUAUAGGCCUCAUUCCACACUGGUUUCUACCAUCUCUCCGCUGAGAAGAGAGAGAUAUAUUUCAUUAUUGGUCCUCUAGUCACAAUUAGUGUUUUCAUUGUUCUCAGGUAUGAUAUUCAGAUCUAGCAUAAUUCCAAGUGAUUUCGAUCAUUUCACUCAUUUAAAUUUACUCAUUUAAAACUGUUACUGGUUUUGAGGCAUGUUAUGCCUCCUCUUGCAUUUUUUUUAAAACCUUACCUUCCAUCUUAGAAUCAAUACUGUGUACUGGUUCCAAAGCAGAAGACCAGUAAGGACUAGGCAAUGGAGAUUAAGUGACUUGCCCAGGGUCACACAGUUAGGAAGUGUCUGAGGCCACACUGAAACCCAGAACCUCCCAUCUCUAGGCUUAGCUCUCAAUCCACUGAGCCACCUAGACUUCCCCUUCCUAAUGUAUAUUAAUAAGUUGGCUUUCUGGUUUGCAAAUGAGUGUCUUAUACAUCAAUCACCAGUACUUGACCACUGUUAGGGGAAAUGGCAAAGGUAAGUUUCUAAAAGAGAUGAUAAAUCAUGGUGGUAGCCCAUCACUGCCACCAUAACUAAGGUAAGGCUAAUCCUUAGUAGGCUUUAUAUAUCCCACCUUAUCCUUUUUUUCCUCCUUUCUUUCUUCCUCUGUUCUUUCCUUCCUUCUGGAUGAGUUUUAUUCCAUCAAAUAUGAAUACCAUUCUGAUGCAACACCUAAGAGUGCUGUAUGGUCAACAGGAGAAAAUUGGGACAUGUACAGUAUACUUAUCAUAUCUUCCACUUUUGGACAGAGCAAUUUGACUCAAAAGACAAAUAGCAUGAGCACCUUCUUAGAGGUGAUGCCUGGGCUUAAUAGCAGUCUUAAAAAUUCUCAUCCCCAGGUGCAUAAGAAAAGCCUAAAAAUGCACUUGAAGCCCCACAGCUGCUGGCUGUUAAGUCCGGUGUAUGUCCAAUAGAGCUAGAAAUUGCCUCUUUAGUGAACUCUGGAUCGAAGUGUCUUAAGUCAGCCGGCCCCACCUUUGGAGAAAAAACAUGAAAGAAAGGAUGGGAUGUGAAAUUUAGUGUUACAAGAUGAACUGAAGCAUUCUUUUAAUAAAAGUGUUCUUAAUCUGAAGUCUGUGAGUAAUAGAUAAAUGAAAGAUUUUGAUAACUUUUUUUUUCCAACAUGAUUAGUUUCCUUUAUAAUCCUAUGUAUUUAAUUUUAUGUACUUAAAAAUAUUGUUCUGAGAAAGGGUCUAUAGGUUUUGUCAGACUGUCAAAAUGAUCAAUAAUGGGAAAUAAAAUGAAGAACCUCUGCUUUAGAACAAGCCUGAUCCAUUACGGCUAGAUACCUGACUCACAAAGCAAGAGAUAUUUAUCCUAUCCAAGCAUCUAUGACCCCUCUGUGUACUACUAAACUCAUGACUUUCCUAUUACAUUUCCAUUCCACCCUCUCUCACAUCAACCCUCAACAUGGCUCUCCUUUGCUAUCACUGAGUCUUCAUAGCAAUGGAAAAAGGAGAUAGGAAAGAGUAAAGCAAAUGAGAAGAAAUGAAAGCCAAAGUUUAUUCUCCUCCAGUUUGGCUCAUGCAACAAAGGGGCACAUAGAAAAGCUUGAGUACUUUUGAGUCAGAUUAAUUACAAUGAUGAAGAGUAAAUGAGCAAAUAAUGACACAAGCUCUUACCACAUUUGGGUUGAAAGGAGGAGUGAGUCUCUUGUGAUAUAAAUCAUCCCAGUUUAUUGGACUGAAGAAGACAUGAUUCUUUAUCUCAAGCUGCAAGGAAAAAAUACUAGUUUAGAAAAAGAUCUCCCCUUAACAUUAUAGCUGCCACUGUACCAAGUCUUUGUUAUACCUGACCACUUUUGGAAGUGAGAAUAUCCACUCUUCAGUGUGGUGUCAGUGCGGGAGAAUAGACAGAGUGCUGGGCUUGGAAUUUGGAAAAUGUGGGUUUGAUUCUUGCUUUUGACACUUAUUAGCUGUGAGAACCUUGAGAAGUCCCUGAGCCUCUUUGACCUUCAGGUUUCUCCUCUGUAAAAUGGGGAUAAUUCCUGGAAGUUCCACUCACCAAGGUUUUUGAAGUUCAAGUAAGAUGAUGUCUAUAAAGUACUUCAGAACUGUUAAAGAUUUCUGAUAUAUAAAUAUGAGCUACUAUUGUCAUAGUCAUCUUAAGCCUUUAAAUACUGUUUUCAACAUAAAAAGGAAUUCAAAAUUAUUUCUUUGGUCAAAAGGAAUGAUUAAAAAAUAAUUUUAUUAUGGUCAGAAUUCAUCUCUACCACCUUUAUUAGUAAUAAUUAUGAUUAAUAUUAUUAUAUGUAGCAAGAUAACACAGUGGAUAGAGUAGUGGAGUUUGGAGUAAGGAUGAUCUGAGUUCAAAUACUACCUCAGACACUAUGUACAAGUCAUGUAACCUCUCUUAGUCUUUCCCCUCAUCUGUAAAAUAGCAAUAAUAAUAGUAACCAACUCCUGGGGCUGUUGUGAGCUGUAAACUUUAGAUUUACUCCACCCUGCUUAUCUAACAAAACAGGAAUGUCUACACUCCUAUUUAAGGAUUAAGUAUUGAGAAGGAUGACCUAUGACAGACAUGUGCCAGCAAAUGACAAGUCAGAAACAACUGACAGACCCCUGGGCUGGCCUAAGUCAAGCUUAAGCUACCAUUGGUACAUGUGAGACACAGGAAAGUGAUGUAAAAACAGUUUAUAUAUAUUUGGCGUCACUUCCUCUCUCUGGCUCUUUUUGCGGAGAGGUGGCUCUGGCAGCAGCAAGCUGAGUGUCUUGGCAUCUUGAUGUGGUGGCAGCUAUUGUCUGGGUUUGGUGGUGAGAGUCCUUGAUACACUACUGGGGAAGCUUAGUAACCUAGUUCAGGUAAGGUGUCUUCUCUGAGCUCUCUUGGAGUUUAGGCUGAUUCUUUUCUUCUUUACCUUCCAAAACACUGUCUAUCCUCUUAGGAAAGCCGCUAAUCUUUGUGGUGGAGGUCUUUGAACUCCCCCUGGCACAGGCCAGGUGGGAGAAAUCCUAUACCCUUUUCCUCUCCUCAAUUUCUUCCCUCUAUAUUAAUUAAACCACCAUAAAAUUUCCAAAUUGACUUGGGUAUUUUAUUUGGGAUUCCUUCCCUGGCGACCAAUUAAAUUUAGAUUAAGACACAACCCUAAAAUUUCCCCUUACGGAGCAUAAAAUGCUAUAAUGGGUAUAAAAUAUUUUGCAAACAUUAGAGUGCUCUCUAAAGGAGAGCUAUGACUAUUAAAUGACAUUAUCUAGCACUCACAUAAGUGAAGCAUUUACAUAGAGCAUUUCAUCUGAUCCCCAACAAUCCUUUGAAGUAGGUGCUACAGUGAAUAUUAAUCCCAUUUUAUAGAAGAAGAAAGAGGCUGUAUUUAUCACUUCCUCCACUAAUAAUUUUGGUAAUUGAUGGUUUUAAAAGAUGUUGAAAAAAUGCAGUUGCCCCAAAUCUUCCUGCAAGGAAAAUGUGUGGCAUCUGUUCAUUAAAAAGAAUAAAGAGAAUGAAAAGCUGGAAUCAUCACAGAACUCUUGGAACACAAUUAAAUUUGACUCUCAGUACAUAUUCAAAUUCUCACCUUCAAGAAUGAACCUCUUCCCAUUCCACCCCCACACCUAUCCCUUCAAUCAAUACUUCAAUGUUUCAGUGCUCUGUGUCAAUCCUGAGGAAGCUUUUUGUCACCAUGUAGGAUCACAGAUCUAGAGCUAAAAGGGACUUCUGAGGUCAUCUAAUCCUACCCAAAAUUAUAUUAGUCAAGGAAACUGAGUCACAGGGAGAUUUAAGUUGCUCAAGAUCACUCAAGUGGUAAGUGAUAGUCAAGAUUUUAAUUCAGAUCUGCUGAUUCCAGUUCCUAUAUUCUUCAUUUUGCCAUGCUUCCUCCCAUGUAAUUGUACUGAUGCUACUUUUAUUUUUCUACUAGAGUGAUUUGUCUCUGCCUUCUCCAGUUCAUUUUGUAGAUGAGGAAAUGGAGGCAAACAGGAUUAAGUAACUUGCCCAACAUAGUGUUUGAGGCCAGAUUUGAAUUUGUAAAAAUGAGUCUUCCUGAUUCCAACCCAAUGCUCUAUCCACUAGACCACCUAGCUGCCCUUUCCAUACUGCUUUAUAUGACUAUAGUUUGAAUUUCUUGCUCUGAGAACUGUUCCACACUACUUUAAAUAGUUGAAAAUCCAGUCCUUCCCUCUUGAAAACAAUAGACCUAACAUAAGUAGAAGAUUGCUUCAAAUUACAUAUCACUUCAUGAUUAAAAUGAAUGGGCUUAGAUUAUAAGCAGGAGAGUUUAGAUUAGAUAUUAAGAAUGACACUGCAAUUUGGGUUGGGACCCUCUCUAUAAGGGAGGGGAAAGAGGCUGUCAUUCAAAUGAUGUGAGUACAAUUCUGACUAGCCAGGGAAACAAACUGGAUGAUCUGUCAAACUCUUAUGCUUUGAUAUUAAGCAUCCUUUGAAACCAUACCCUUUGAUGAAGUUAGGCCAUGUGCAUUUAAAAACAUAUCUUCUUUUGAGGUUAAGAAAUCACUAGAAGCAGAGGAUGUGAGGUAGGGGUGGAGGGCAGGAUGGGAGAGAGCCCUUGGAAACCUAUCACAUACAAAAUCUGCUUUGGCACCCAGCCUUUUCUUCUGAUCCUUGUGGAGAAGGCCAUGCAGGAGAUCACAGGCUGCCACCGUCUUGCCUCCUUGGAUCUGGAGAGGCUUGUGAAGGAUGUUCUCAUACAUUUCAGAAACAUCUCGGCUGUAGAAAGGUGGCUGCCAUAUAGGGAAACAAAGAAGAGAUCUGUGUUAUCUAUCAUAGAUUAGGGACUGAUCUGAAGAAACAAUAUUUUCCCCCCAGAGGAUCUAGGGAAAUCUAGAAAUUCUUACUUCAGAAAAGAAUUGGAGAAUGUAAAAAAUGCGUAAUUGGACAUAUAAAUGUAAACAAACAAAAAGAUAAAAAAAAAGAACAGAAUUGGACAAUAUACCUACUAAAAGCAGCACAGACCCACAAGUCAUAUCUUAACAAAUAAGAGACUGGACACUUUGAAUACUGUUUGGUAGAGAGAACUCUGGAGUAAAGUGCUAAUGGGGAGCAAGAAUCUAAGAGCUGGGAAGGGUCUCAAAGGCAUCUUGUCCAACUUGUACCCAAAUACAAUCCCCAUCUUCAACAUGCCUAACAACUGGUGAGCUAACAUGGGCUUAAAAACUUCCAGUGACAGAAUGGGUUACUUCCUAAGGCAUACCAGGGAAGUUUUUCCUUGUAAUAAGUAUGUUAUUUACCUCUCUGAGAAGUCUUCCAAUUUCUCCUAAUUCUACCCUGUGAGUUUAAGCAGAACAAGUCUAAUCCCUCUUUCACACUUAUAGAUGGUAACUAUUCUCCAGCACCUCAUCUUUUUCAGGCUUAACAUCUCUUGUUCUUUUAACUAAUCUUUAUAAGACAUGACUAAGAGCUUUCACUAUCCUGGUUACUCUUCUCAAGAUGUUCUCCAAAAAUGUAGUGCUCAAAAUAAAACAGAAUUCUGAUUGAGACAGAAGACAGUAAACAUCUACCAUUGCCCUAGUCCUGGAAUGCCUAGUUUUUCUUACUAUAGCUUAAGAUAAUGAGUUCUCACACAACCAAAAAGAAAAAAAUUAACUCAUUGCCAUGUGCCAGAACAGGCAUUGCCAACCUGUGGUAUCUCCAGAGGGUAUAUCAAUGAAUAUAACCAAUGUCUGGUAACUAUGUUAUCUAUGGAAAUUAAUCUUGUUUUAUUUCUUAUCUGCCUUUGCACUGGAAACUCUAGAAUUUAUUCCUUUCCUAUUGAAUAAGGAAUAUCACUGAAAUCUGAGGGAUGGGGAGGCAAAGGGCCCACACACACACACAAAAAGAGAUAGGAACUUCUGGCCUAAAUGGAGCUGCCUUAGGGGGCAGCUGGGUGGUUCAGUGGAUUGAGAGCCAGGCCUAGAGAUGGGAGGUUCUGGGUUCAAAUCUGACCUCAGCCACUUCCUGUGUGACCCUGGGCAAGUCACUUGACCCCCAUUGCCUAGCCCAUACCACUCUUCUGCCUUGGAACCAAUACACCGCAUUGAUUCCAAGACAGAAGGUAAGGAUUUUAAAAUAAAUAAAUAAAAAUUAAAAAAUAAAUGGAGCUGCCUUGUGUAAACCUUAAAAUUUCUUAGACUUAUAAAUGUUGGAAAUUUCACCAUUGGGAAAUUUCAUACUUGGAAAAUUUCUUACUGAUAGUGUAUUGGAAUGUGAACCCCUUUGGCAUGGGAGGUUCCUUCUCCUCCCUUCUUAAGAUUACUUUAGGACAGAAACCUUUUGCUGAACAAUGGAAAGGGCUUUGACCUAUGCUUAAGUACAGAACAGGAAUUUCUUUGAGUCAUGAUUGAUUUUAGAAUUGAUACAAUAGAGAUACUUGGAAUGACAGAAUCAGGUCUUGGAAAAUACAAUUUCCACCCCACUCAGUCCUAACAGGAUUUAGGAAGGGCUGCAGCAUAGAUCAAAAUUUAAUUAUUUGAGAAUAUGACCUUCAACAGACAUGUGCAAAGCCCAGACCUCUGGGCGGUCCUGGGUUAAGCUAGAGCCACCAUUGGCACAGGGAAAAUGAUGGACAGUGAUUGGUAGAUGUGAGAACUGAGGGGAGGGAACUUGGAUGGUUUCCUUAAAGAUAGAGGGGUCUGAGGACUGAGGGGUGGUUGGAGAGUUUUGGCUCUGAGUGGUUGGAGAGGUGCUCUGAGAAGCUUGCUCUGGAGGAAGCUGAAGGAGGCCCCUGAGACUGUUUCUCCAUUUUGGUCACGUGAGUGAUAGGAACUGAUCUCUUUUCUUUGCCUCAGCUAUCUAAGGGCUUGGGCCUUUUGGCCCAGCCUAAACAGAAGGGGUAUUUAAGCCCUAUUCCCUUCUCUCCCCUUUCUCUCUCCCUCUCUCUCUCUAUCUCUAAUUCCUUUCUUCCUCCUGUCUGUAAUUAAACUCUAUAAAAGGUUGACGGCUGACUUGAGUUUUCAUUUAGGAAUUACAUAGCUGAAUUCCUUGGUGACCUUAAAUUAAUAUAUAUCAGUCUUUUAAAGUGAUUUCCUUGUCACACUUGGCGGGAUAUUUGUGAAUAUCCCAAGGAAUCUUUAUGCAAAGAAACAUCAUUCAUUAGUUUGCUUAUAGUUCUCUUCUCUCUUCCCAUUCCUAAUCCUUCCUUAUUACCAAGUUUUGCAACCUUCUCUACUUAACACUUCAGAUUCUUGAUGCCAUACAAACCUCUUUUUCCUUUUUAACUUUUACCUUCCAUUUUAGAAUCAAUACUGUGCAUUGGUUCCCAGGAGAAUGGUGAGGGCUAGGCAAUGGGGGUCAAGUGGUUUCCCCAGAUCACACACCUAAAGAAGUAUCUGAGACCAGAUUUGAACCCAGGACCUCCCAUCUCUCAGCCUGACUCUAUCCACUGAGCUGCUUCCUCCAUACAACCUUCUUCCUUUGUGCCUUCACCUUCUUAUCCAUCUUUAUUAUGUCUUAGCCUACUAUUUCCUAGAAGGGAAGAAUACUAAUUGGCUUACUAAAUUCUCCUACAAGUUCUAUAACAGUACUAAAAAAGCAAAUUCAUUUAAUUAUUGAGACUAAUAUCAGGUAAAUAUUAUAAUGUUCUGCUACUUACCAAGCCACAGAGCAUUUCAUAAAGAACAGCUCCCAAACACCACCAAUCUACUGUUCGGUCAUAAGGUUGUUUUCUCAGUACUUCUGGAGCCAAAUACUAUUGGAAACAUAAUAUUGAACUCUGAUGAAUACCAUGACCAACCAGGAUUCCAGAAGGUUGGUGAUGAACUAUGCAACCAACCUCCUGACAGAGAAGUGAUGGACUCAAGUUGUUUAAUGAACCAUAUAUUGGGUGUAUUGGGAAUUUUCUUUUUGAUAUGCAUAUUUGUCAAAAAUGGUUUUGUUUUUCUUUUAUAUGUAAGGAGAGAAAACAAAUGCUCACUAACUGAAAAAUAAAACUUUAAACAAGCAUAUUGAUCUCUAUGAAGCAGCAUGCAAAAAGGAUUUUGCCAAUGCUGGCUAGCUUUUUGACCAAAGAAAAUAAUUUCAUCUCACUUUGUAUCUUUAAGAUGUGAGGGUUGAGGAGCAGCUGGUAGCACAGUGGAUAGAAUCAUCAAGCCUGGAGUUGGGAGGAUCUGAGUUCAAAUGUGACCUCAGAUACCUACCAGCUGUGUGAUCCUGGGCAAGUCACUUAAUCCGAAUUGCCUAGCCCUUGCUACCCUUCUGUCUUAGAAUUAAUACUAAGAGAGAAGGUAAGGAUUUUUAAAAAUUAUUUUUAAUAUGAGAGUUGAACAAGAUUCAGUUACAAAUAACCUAAUGAAUAUUAAGCACUAACUUGGCCCAAGUAUCAAGUGCAAGGAAUACAAAGAUGAAAUAAGAUGCAGGGCCUGACCUGGAGGAAUUUAUAGUCCAGUAGGGAAGAGAAUGCAAAUAGAUUAGUGACUCAAACUUACAGCAAAUGUACAAUUUGCGUUUAGGAUCAUAGACUAAGCUAUUCUCUUUUUUCAUUCAUUCAUUCAAUAGACAUUUCAUGGCUGAAGAAAUUGAGGCUCAAAGAGAAAAAAUGUGUCUAAUUACAUAAAGGGUCAGUAGAGAAAUGGGACUAUGAGUCAGGUGACCUGACUUCUGACCUUUGACUCUUUGACUAGGCAAUUGCCUCUUGUAGCUCUAACAAGGAACACAUUGAAGAAUAUGGAUUCUCUCUCUCUUGAACUGCUCUGAUGGCCUGUGCCCGGACAUAUCCACAAAAUAUUAGUUGCAUCACUACCACCACCCCCUCCCAGCAGCUACCACCAGCACAAUGCUAAGUAGGGACACUAACCCAAGGAAGUACAAAUCAAUGAAGAAAUUCACAGGACUCAGAUCAAGACCAAAAGCAGUGCUGAUUAGCCCCAUGCAGAAAGACAAGACUGGCUCUAGCAGAAAACCUCAAUCCAGAAGCUAAACAGGAAAGAUGAGUAAAUGAAAGAAAACACUGAUUUGUUUUAAAAAAAAAGUUAGAUGUCUAGAAAGUCCCCCCCCAAAAGGAGCAAGUUACUAUAUCGCAACUGCAAACUUUAGCUCAAAGGGAAAAAGAUGGAUUUUCUGCAAGGACAACAUGAAGACCUAGAAUAUAUGAAACGAGUUUAAAAUAAAAUAAAAGCCCUGGAAGAAGGAAAUGAAGGAGAAUAAAGAGUUUAGAAAUAAAAGUAGUAAGCCUACAUUUUUAGCUUUACAUUGUUGGGUUUAAUCGGGUUUUAAUGGGUAUUUGUUGGGUUUAAUUCAGGAAUCCCUGAAAAUUCCAUUAGAUCAAACAAAAAUCAAUUACUCCAUGAAAUAGCAUAUAUAUGUAUGUAUACAUAUGUAGGAACAUAAAAAUAUUGGAAAAAAUGGGAGAAAAUGUAAGAUAUUUGAUAUUUUAAAAUUUGACCUAGAAAAGGAGAGAUCUUUUAGGAAGCAUUGGACUUCCUGAAGAAGCAUGGAUGCUAUAUGUCAAGAAAUCAUAAGUAGACAGUAUCUAGAUCUCUUAGAACUGGAAGGCAAAAUGAAGAUAGAAAGAAUCUAACCAAUUACCUACCGAGAGAAAACCAGAAAGAAAAAUUCUCAGGAAUGUCAGAACCAAACUCCUGAGCUUAAAAACAACCAAAAAAAGUAAUGUAAAUAUAUGAAGAAAGAAGCAGUUUAAAUAUCAAGGAACUAUGAUCAAAAUCACAUUAGGCCUGGCAGCUUCUACUAAUAACUAAUAAUCCAGAGGAUUAUCUUAGAACAUAAUAUUCUAAAGAGUAUAAUCCUAAAUGGAGGGAUAUAUUUUUACUGGAAUAGAGGAUUUUUCAAGCAUUUCUGAUUAAAAAAGAAAAAGACUAGAGCUUUGUAGAAAUUUUGAGAUAUCAAGACCAGAAUCAUGAUUAAUUUAAUUGAGCAAUUGGAAGGAGUUGUAUAACAUUCUAAAAGAGAGAGAAGAAACAAAUAGUUUCCAUGUGUGGGUCCAGAGAAAUUGGUGGGGGAAGUAGGACUGGGAGAGAGAAAUUCCCCAUCCCACCUUGGGCCUGGGAUUGGUUUUAUGUAGUACCCAACUGAGGCCAAAGCAGAGGGGCUUCCUAACUUAGAAAGGGAAAAGCAACAGGGUGCCAGGAAGAAUCUAGGUUCAAAUGUGACCUCAGACACUUUCUAGUUAUGUGACCCUGGGCAAGUCACUUAACCCCAAUUACCUAGCCUUUACUGCUCUUACCAAUACUUAAUAUCAAUUUUAAGGAUUUGAUUUUUUUUUAAGAAAGAAAGAAAAGUGAGGGGGUGACUUUCCGAUCUAUGUGCUUGGUUCCUAUGGGGAGAACCCCACAUGUUCUGAAAGCUCUGUAGACAUU